RNAcentral lists this small RNA (123 nucleotides) under Vibrio furnissii. Its description in RNAcentral is "Gammaprotebacteria rimP leader". It matches the Rfam family "Gammaprotebacteria rimP leader". The record is from RNAcentral. Lineage: Bacteria; Pseudomonadati; Pseudomonadota; Gammaproteobacteria; Vibrionales; Vibrionaceae.
UUCUCAAUUUAUCAGGGUCCAGCAACAAAAACCCCGACUUUCGGGGUUUUUUGUUAUCUGAAUUUUUCGUUUGAAAUUCAGGUGCUUGCUUGGAAUUUAAAUUGGGCUCUAUGCCCUUUUUUU